RNAcentral lists this ribosomal RNA (497 nucleotides) under uncultured bacterium. RNAcentral describes it as "partial 16S ribosomal RNA". It matches the Rfam family "Bacterial small subunit ribosomal RNA", at positions 28 to 507 of the family's 1533-position model. The record is from RNAcentral.
GAUGAACGCUGGCGGCGUGCCUAAUACAUGCAAGUCGAGCGAACGGACGAGAAGCUUGCUUCUUUGAUGUUAGCGGCGGACGGGUGAGUAACACGUGGAAAACCCACCUAUAAGACUGGGAUAACCUCGGGAAACCGGAGCUAACACCGGAGAAUAUCCUGAACCGCAUGGUUCAAAAGUGAAAGACGGUCUUGCUGUCACUUAUAGCGGGAUCCGCGCUGCUUUAGCUAGUUGGUAAGGUAACGGCUUACCAAGGCAACGAUGCAUAGCCGACCUGAGAGAGGGGUCGGCCACACUGGAACUGGAACACGGUCCAGACUCCUACGAGAGGCAGCAGUAGGGAAUCUUACGCAGUGGGCGAGAACCUGACGGAACGACGCGACGUGAGUGAUAAAGAUCUUCGGAUCGUGAAACUCUGUUAUUGGGGGAGAACAUAUGUGUAAGGAGCUGUACACAUCUUGACGGUACCUAGUCAGAAAGCCACGGCUAACUACGUG